AUGCACGCUCUUCAAUCUGGGAAGUGGAAUGAUUUGUAUAUUGUUUCCAUGAACAUGAAACUUGUCGAGGUUUACCAUGGGCACAUCUUGUGGAUAAUGCUGUAUACCUUUGCUCGCAACAUAGCUCUCUCUACGUGCGAUGUUGUGUCUUGCAUGUACAAAUGCGGUGCUUGCUCGUGUCUGUCGUUGGUUCUGUAUGUCUAUUCUGCAGUAUCAUGUCGCAACAUGAUUCCUAAGGGUGGUUGCACUGAAAAGGUACCACGUGUAGCUGGGGAGUUGUAUGCUGUAUAUACUAACCACUUGCAAUGCGUGCUCUGCGUGUUUGAACUUUGA
Molecule: ribosomal RNA, 333 nt
Filed under: Triticum aestivum (bread wheat)
Lineage: Eukaryota; Viridiplantae; Streptophyta; Magnoliopsida; Poales; Poaceae
Description: partial small subunit ribosomal RNA
Source: RNAcentral